AGAGUUUGAUCCUGGCUCAGAUUGAACGCUGGCGGCAUGCCUUAAACAUGCAAGUCGAACGGCAGCACGGGGAGGGGCAACUCUCCCUGGUGGCGAGUGGCGAACGGGGGAGUAAUGCAUCGGAACGUGUCCUCUUGUGGGGGAUAACCAGUCGAAAGAUUGGCUAAUACCGCAUGAGAUCGCAAGAUGAAAGCGGGGGACCGCAAGGCCUCGCGCGAGAGGAGCGGGCGAUGCCGGAUUAGCUAGUUGGGGGGGUAAAAGCCCACCAAGGCGACGAUCCGUAGCUGGUCUGAGAGGACGACCAGCCACACUGGGACUGAGACACGGCCCAGACUCCGACGGGAGGCAGCAGUGGGGAAUUUUGGACAAUGGGCGCAAGCCUGAUCCAGCCAUGCCGCGUGUGUGAAGAAGGCCUUCGGGUUGUAAAGCACUUUCGGACGGAACGAAAUCGCGCGGACGAACAUUCCGCGUGGAUGACGGUACCGUAAGAAGAAGCACCGGCUAACUACGUGCCAGCCGCCGCGGUAAUAC
This 531-nucleotide ribosomal RNA is filed under the name uncultured bacterium. RNAcentral's name for it is "bacterial SSU rRNA". It matches the Rfam family "Bacterial small subunit ribosomal RNA", at positions 8 to 526 of the family's 1533-position model. The record is from RNAcentral.